AUCUAUCUCUUCGUCAUUUGCGCCAGUAACGUCUACCUCUUCGUCAUUUGCACCAGUAACAUCUACCUCUUCAUUUGCACCAGUUACAUCUACCCCCUAUUCGCUUCCACCGGUUACCUCUACCCCCUUUUCCCUUCCAUCAGUUACCAACAGCACCUCUUUUGCAGUCCCCCCAGUAAUUUCUACCUUUUCUCCAGCAAUACCUAGUACUAGCAAUGCCCCUCAAGUACCCUGCACAAACAGCUCAAAAUCAGGCUCUCAACUACCGUCAUUCAGAAUUCGCCUAGUAGCUCCAAGGGGAUCCGUGACCAAAGUCGAAAUCAAUCCUCCGAUUACAACCACCACUAGAAGACCCACUACUACUCGAACUCGAAGAAUAAGGAACAAUUACGAUGGCUGCGUCAGCGGAUGCGGAGGCAGGAAGGUCCCUAUAUGUGCCAGUCCCUCGGGCGUGUCUCCUAUCGACCCAAACAGGCUUAAAGGAUUCCCAUCAGUGUGCCACAUGGCAUGCCACAAUUCGUUUAGGAAGACUUUGUACGAAAAGGUGACUGAUGGUAGAUGCGGCCAACUGCGCACCCGAAUCAGGCCUCUUGACUCCAAAACCAAGCUCAAAAAGGACGAUCUCCAGAAAGCUACAUAUACUGUCGUACAAGGAGGCCCGUCAGUCAUCGAGUUCACACCCUUGAACUCUUAGAGGCAACAUUUUUGUCAAAGUAAUUGUAGUACUCUUAAACUCCUCAGCGAGAGAGAUUAUGUCCAAUAUUGAGUCGGACAAUUUAAACCGUGCCACGUUUGAGUAAAAUUGUUAGAAUUACAGUACUGUAGAUCUACUGUAAUAAAACCAGUCAAAGGAGACUAUAUAGAGAUAAUGAGAUUUCAUGUCCUUCGAGACUAUGUACUUUGGCUCUCAAAAUACCUACGUCUUUAGAAAAUAAGAACACGAGAUUCUAUCACUGCCAAAUUGUACCAACGUACACUUGUUCAAUAUUUAUUUGAACAGGAUUAAUGUCAUAAAAUUAAGGAAUAUUGCAACACGAAAUAAAAGCGCAAUUUUAUUAGUACUAAGGAAUCAUGUAAGUAUUACCGUACCUAUUCUCAUAAAGUAACGAGUUAUGAGUAAAUUAAUUGAUGUAAAUGAAUCAAUAAAGUAGGUGAAGCAGAGCGUAACGUUCUUAUAGAGACUAAAGGAGCUUGUCAAACGCAUUUCAAUCCAACGUGUCUUUGCUCUUAGUUAUCAAAUCAGUAGUGUGUAAGUGUGUAUUGUGAAUACUAUAAAGUCUAAUAACGUUGAAUCUGCUCGCCUUUGUGAGAUGCAAGAAUAUGUUACAUUUGUCACGUAAGACGCUAGAGAAAAGGCGAGAUAUAGAAUAUUACGACUUAUCACGUACCAUCAUAAAAAACUGUAGCUAACAAUUCAUAAACCUCAUUGUAAAGACAUUUACGUUACAGUUAAUAGAUACUGUGUGUCGAUGAACGAUACAUCGUUGCAUAAUGCACAGUUUUAAUGCGAUCAGUACCCCUAGUGUAAAUUUAGUUGAUAGCGAAACGUGACGUACGCGUUUGCGUUAAGUCUCAUUUUGUAUGGGUUUUUGAACAGCGCGCCAAGCGGGACGUUUUGGAAAGUCAAAAAUCUCAUACAAAAAGACACUUAACGCAAACGCGUACGUCACGUUUCGCUGUCGAAAAUAUUUACACUAGGGGUACAGAUUCAUCUUCGUUUACUUUCAAUGUUUGAAUAUAGUUGUACCUAUGUGUGAGAAAAUAACGUAGUAUUUCAGUUACUUACACUUUUGAAAACAACGGGAUUUACGUAAGGUUUAUGUUCACUAACUGUACUAAUGUCUAGUGUAUUAAAUGAAUAGGUUUACAGGAUAUUUAUUUAGUGACCUGCAAUAAUUUACGGGCUGAAUAUAUAGGUCAUAUUGAGCAAGUUUUACAGUGGGACCAAUUCCGAAAUCGCGAAAAAGAUUUACUCUUCCAUAGAAAAUGUCAAGGUCAGACCGGCAAAAUGUAUGGAACAGCCAAUAUUUGUUUCGCGAUUUCGGGGUUGGUCCGUAGUAAAAGUUGCUCAGUAUGAUAUAUUCAUCCCGUCAAUUUUUGCAGGUGACUAAAUAAACACCCUGUAUAUUAGCAUUUGAUAUGAAUGUUUGCCAAAUGCUAUGAGUCCGUCCAUAUUUUAAUAUUAUUUUAGUAGUAAGGAUGUUUUUGUACUUAAACUAUAUUUUUAAAAUUAAAGAAAUAUUACAAAAA
Cydia pomonella (codling moth) is the source of this 2250-nucleotide long non-coding RNA. RefSeq lists it as uncharacterized. The transcript is spliced from 2 exons. The record is from RefSeq and is a predicted model, not a curated record. Lineage: Eukaryota; Metazoa; Arthropoda; Insecta; Lepidoptera; Tortricidae.